AGCUUUGUGCAGUGGCAGUACCGUAGCCAAUGAGGUUUAUCCGAGGCGCGAUUAUUGCUAAUUGAAAGCAGUAUAUAGGUGUGCUUCAUAUAAUUCUUAUUCUUGCAACUUUCCCCCCAAG
This is a small nuclear RNA of Tupaia belangeri (northern tree shrew), 121 nucleotides long. Its record names the gene U4. It matches the Rfam family "U4 spliceosomal RNA". From Rfam's summary of the family: U4 small nuclear RNA (U4 snRNA) is a component of the major U2-dependent spliceosome. The structure of U4 snRNA from yeast and human has been reported. The record is from Ensembl. NCBI's taxonomy places the organism in Eukaryota, Metazoa, Chordata, Mammalia, Scandentia, Tupaiidae.